GGCGUAGGCGGCUUGUCAAGUCGGAUGUGAAAUCUCCUGGCUCAACUGGGAGGGUGCAUUCGAUACUAGCGAGCUGGAGUGCAGCAGAGGGAGGUGGAAUUCCCGGUGUAGUGGUGAAAUGCGUAGAUAUCGGGAAGAACACUAGUGGCGAAGGCGGCCUCCUGGGCUGUAACUGACGCUGAGGUCCGAAGGCGUGGGGAGCAAACAGGAUUAGAUACCCUGGUAGUCCACGCAGUAAACGAUGGAUACUAGGUAUGGGGAGUAUCGACCCUCUCUGUGCCGAAGCUAACGCUUUAAGUAUCCCGCCUGGGGACUACGGUCGCAAGACUAAA
RNAcentral lists this ribosomal RNA (332 nucleotides) under uncultured bacterium. Its description in RNAcentral is "bacterial SSU rRNA". It matches the Rfam family "Bacterial small subunit ribosomal RNA", at positions 568 to 898 of the family's 1533-position model. The record is from RNAcentral.